UUAGUAACGGCGAGUGAAGCGGUAAAAGCUCAAAUUUGAAAUCUGGUACUUUCAGUGCCCGAGUUGUAAUUUGUAGAAUUUGUCUUUGAUUAGGUCCUUGUCUAUGUUCCUUGGAACAGGACGUCAUAGAGGGUGAGAAUCCCGUUUGGCGAGGAUACCUUUUCUCUGUAAGACUUUUUCGAAGAGUCGAGUUGUUUGGGAAUGCAGCUCAAAGUGGGUGGUAAAUUCCAUCUAAAGCUAAAUAUUGGCGAGAGACCGAUAGCGAACAAGUACAGUGAUGGAAAGAUGAAAAGAACUUUGAAAAGAGAGUGAAAAAGUACGUGAAAUUGUUGAAAGGGAAGGGCAUUUGAUCAGACAUGGUGUUUUUUGCAUGCACUCGCCUCUCGUGGGCUUGGGCCUCUCAAAAAUUUCACUGGGCCAACAUCAAUUCUGGCAGCAGGAUAAAUCAUUAAGAAUGUAGCUACUUCGGUAGUGUUAUAGCUUUUUGGAAUACUGUUAGCCG
Molecule: ribosomal RNA, 502 nt
Filed under: Hanseniaspora uvarum
Lineage: Eukaryota; Fungi; Ascomycota; Saccharomycetes; Saccharomycodales; Saccharomycodaceae
Description: eukaryotic LSU rRNA
Rfam family: Eukaryotic large subunit ribosomal RNA
Source: RNAcentral